UGAAUCAACGAUAAAAAAUAAUCAACUGAGAAGAAAAAAAUUACUGAUUUGGCCUUCAUUUUUACCACUAACUUAAAUCUGGUGAGUUUUUCUUGGAUUCGUCUAGAUUAUAAUCGUCCUUAUUUAUGUGUUUUCACGAGAAACCACAUAGUUAAGGGAUAUUAUAGCCGAGACCUCAUUAAUCCCCAAGUUUAUGAACUUAGGGUUCUGGACAGUUUUCGAUCUGAAAUUUGAGAAGCUUGGUGAGGAUUCGAGGGGCAGGGUUUGGGUAUGUUAAAGAGGAGAGGAAGACGAAUUAGGGGUGUUAAUUUGGCCUGGUUUGGGUGAGUUAGGGUUUUGGCCGGAAAUUUUGAUCCAAGGUUCGAAGAGUUUGGUUGUGAUUUGAAGGAAAC
RNAcentral lists this long non-coding RNA (392 nucleotides) under Nicotiana benthamiana. RNAcentral describes it as "long non-coding RNA (NBEN_LNC012618)". Lineage: Eukaryota; Viridiplantae; Streptophyta; Magnoliopsida; Solanales; Solanaceae. The record is from RNAcentral.